GACGAACGCUGGCGGCGGGCUUAACACAUGCAAGUCGAAGGGAGUGGCGAACGGGUGAGUAACACGGGAGUAACCUGCCCCUUUCUUUGGGAUAAACCUGGGAAACUGGGUCUAAUACUUGAUGGAUUGGGAUGGGCGGGCGGCUUAUCGGUUUGUUGGUGGGGUGAUGGCUUACCAAGGCUUGGACGGGUAGCCGGCCUGGGAGGGUGGUCGGUCACACUGGGACGGAGAUACGGCCCAGACUCCUACGGGAGGCAGCAGUGGGGGAUAUUGCACAAUGGACGAAAGUCUGAUGCAGCGACGUCGUGUGGGGGAUGAAGGCCUUCGGGUUGUAAACUCCUUUCGCCCGCGGAAUGGUAGUGGGUAAAGAAGCGCCGGCUAACUACGUGCCAGCAGCCGCGGUAAUUC
Molecule: ribosomal RNA, 408 nt
Filed under: uncultured bacterium
Lineage: Bacteria
Description: partial 16S ribosomal RNA
Rfam family: Bacterial small subunit ribosomal RNA
Source: RNAcentral